Myotis daubentonii (Daubenton's bat) is the source of this 3540-nucleotide long non-coding RNA. RefSeq lists it as uncharacterized. NCBI's taxonomy places the organism in Eukaryota, Metazoa, Chordata, Mammalia, Chiroptera, Vespertilionidae. The record is from RefSeq and is a predicted model, not a curated record.
GUGAAUUAAAUCCUGCAAAGGAAAAGACCCUCCCUGUAUGUGACUGAACGCUGGGACAUGCUGUUUAGGAAGGGUAAGUGUUUACAGGAUAUCGAUUAUCUGCCAUGAACGGCUUGGGCUUCGAUGUUCCUGGAAACAACUGGACUAAGAGGACUGGGUUACGUCAAUUCUGAAAGUAAAGAUUUUUAGAACUGAAGAGAUAACCCGUGUUAGGGCCGAUUUUUACUGUGCUUCACCCAUGUCUACCUGGUUCUGUUUCUUUAUCACCAUCUACAGAUUGCUGCUGCAAUCUGGUGAUUCCAGGUACUUCACGUACACUUUGGUUCUAGAUUAGCCCGAGCUUCUAGUUCACCAGUUAACAAUAGCUAGCACUUAUCCAGUGAAUACCAUGUGCUAAUACGCUCAAUACCUAGAUAUACUAAGCUUUUGUUUCGUUUUGUUAAUCCUCACCCGAGGAUUUCCAUUGAUUUUCAGGGAGAGUGGAAGAGAGAAACUCACCAAUCGGUCGCCUCCUGCAUGAGCCACGACCAGGGCCCGGGCUGGGGAGGAGUCUGCAACCGAGGUACGUGCCCUUGACCAGAAUCGAACCCGGGACCCUUUGGUCCGCAGGCCGGCGCUCUAUCCACUGAGCCAAACCAGGACACUGUACUGCAGAACCAAGUAGUCCAAGAAGAGAACCGGACCUAUCCUAAUGGCAGCAGCUUAGUCACCUGCAGCUCAGUUUCCUUUUUAGUCAGCAUUUUAUUCAGCACAGGGUUACCGACUGCACAUUGAAUGUGCCCUGAUCCUAGAACUGUCGCCACCUAAAACUGAACUAGAAAGAAUCAGCUUGCAACAAGUAGGAGUAAAAAUCUCUUCUAAAGGCACCUCGUACAUCUUUAAGAAAAGACUGAAUAUUUGCCGAGAUGAACAUGUCUUCUCGAUUUUUUCAGGUGUUCUAAAUUCCAAGGAAGCCACCAAUCCUGAGCUAAAUGAAUGCAACAAUUUCCAGAAUACAGCUUACUGAACAGGAUAUAAAGUAAUAAUAUGACAAAGUGUUGGUAACUGGUGAAAAAUACUGAACAAGCAGCAUUCUUUAGGGAAGACAUUGUUUAGCAUUUCUGCAACACUGUCCAGGGCAAAGCCUACCAACUGCUCUUGAUGGUUGGGAAGGAGGGUGUGCCUGGCCCAGGGGUAGAAGUGCUGCAGAAGGCUGAUCUCCGAGAAGCCGUGAGAAAAGCUCUUCCUGAGAGCUCGAUGGAGGUGGAAGCGGCUGGGGUUCUGCGCGGAGUGGACCGCAGUCAUCAACAGGGCCAGGAAGAGGAUUUGUGCUAUUGCAGAGAACACAGCCAUCACUGAGCCUUAGCUUAGACAGCCUCUACAGCUUUUUCUUCAUGUUUUCUGUCUACAAUACACUUCCACAGACCAAAACAGUCAAAAAUUGACAACUUCACACCUGGUUUAAACUAAUAAUUAUAAGCAUAAGCAAAAACAUUUGGCUGUUAGUGAUUAUAUCUAUAUAUCCCUCCCAAGAAUCAUUCUGCCACUAAUUAGAAAUUUUACUUAAGAAACAUAAAAUCCCACACACAAUUUUUGUAUUUUAGUUCUUAAAACUAAAGCCCCCCCCCGCGCCCCCCCCCCGUCACAAGAAGGGAAGGCACAGUGGAAACAAUCUCUCUCCUUGGGGUCAGGGAACCAGUACUCCCCACGCCAGCUGUGUAACAGCUCCAGGUACGGACAGGAUGCCCAUUUUUCAGAGCACAUCCGUUCUCCCUCCACCCUGUGAAGGAGGUGGAUCCAGUUUUGUUCUUACAUCCCGUAGGCAGAGAAAGUGACUUACGCAAGCACACAGUGAAAUCUCCAGACUUCAGGAGUCCCCGUUUACCCACCACCUUGUUUACCGGAGCCCAGAAAUGAACGCCUUUAAAUGCCCUCACCCUCCCGUAGUUCCCAUUUAUCCCCGCCCCCGUCCUCGCUGGGCACUGCCCAUCUCCAUACCCAAAAUCUCCCCCGUCAGCUUGAAGAGCUGCUUCUCUUUCAAGGUUCUUUCUGGGCGCGUAACUGGACUGUUCAUAGCUGGCGCUACAUAGACGGGGUUCCUCUUAUCUCUUGAACCAGGCGAUGAUGGAGGACAUUUUGCUGUCAGAAAUUCAAAUAUAGGCCAAGAAAUGUUAUGUUUUGUUAAGCAAUUAUUCAUCGGUGUUUGUUGAGCAUCUAUUACGAGUACCUCCUGUUAAAUGUUGAAGAAACAAAGAAAACCCCUAAGGAGAUGCUCCCGCUAUCAUGAAGGACUUCUUAGCCUAUAGGAUCAGUUUCCAGCCUGAAGUUAAGUCUGCUCAGUUGCUAUAAAAGUUUCUAACUUGCUACCUCCAUUUCUGUGCUUAUCUUGGGCUAGAAACAACAGUUCCAGCCAGUGGGGCACAUGCUGGGAGCACGCCCAGGGGUGCUUCUCAGACUUUAACAUUCACAGUUUUGUUAAGCGCAGGUUCUGGGGUGAAGCCCGAGAUUCUGCAUCGCCGGCAAUUCCAGGACACGCGGCCAACGUUCCUGAGUGAUAAUGUUCACCACCGCAGAGCUAAUCCCAUUUUACAGUCUAUUUGAAGCAGCGCUAGUGCUGCCCUCAUCCUCACUGGCUGACGAGGAAGUCUAACAGACGACUGAAGGCAGGACUUCACUUCCCGUUUCACACACUGUGGGGUCACUUCCACUCCUCGUUGCACUAAUCCAUAUGCAAAACCUAUAGGCUCUUUACUUUUUAUAUAUUUUUAUUGAUUUCAGAGAGGGAGAGAGAUAGAAACAUCAAUGAUGAGAGAGAUCAUUGAUCAGCUACCUCCUGCACGCCCCCUAUGGGGGAUCGAGCCUGCAACCUGAACAUGUGCCCUGACCAGGAAUUGAACCGUGACCUCCUGGUUCAUAGGUUGAUGCUCAACCACUGAGCCACACCAGCUGGGCUCCUUACAUUCCUACUAGCUUAGUACUGAAUUCAGCCUCUGCCUACUUCUUGAUCUAAUACUUUUCUAUGACUCGCAUGCACAGUCAUAGCACUUACAGUAAAAAGGCCUCUCUAUGGCCUCUAUGACCAAAAAGUACACGGAGAAGUCCCAUUGCUGGCUCUGUAGUUCUUGCAACUGUAUUACCUACACUAGGGUGCUAUAAUGCUCCGAGCCCAGUAAUGCUAACAAAGUUACAGCAUACUCCUUCCCAGUCCUUAUGAGACGCAAUCAUACCCAGUUCUCUCUGCACCAGACAGACUUAAAAUCACAUCUCCCGUCAACCACACAGCACUAGUAAUUGCAGCCAUCCUUAUUCAAACCCCGGGAAGCCAUACAGUAGGAGCCCUGCCCUGCUAAUCGCACACGGCCUCACCUCCUCAGUACGACUCCCCCGGCAAACUCAAAUGAUGAACCAAUUCACAGCCAAACUAUAACUUUAGCUCAUGGCCUACAAACAAUUCUUCCACCAAUAGUAGCACGAUGACUACUAGCAAGUCUUACUAAUCCAGCUUUACCCCCAACAAUUAUCUUAACUGGAGAAUUCCUCGUAGUUAUAAUCAACAGUCUC